RNAcentral lists this transfer RNA (65 nucleotides) under Dipodomys ordii (Ord's kangaroo rat). It matches the Rfam family "tRNA". Rfam says of the family: Transfer RNA (tRNA) molecules are approximately 80 nucleotides in length. Their secondary structure includes four short double-helical elements and three loops (D, anti-codon, and T loops). Lineage: Eukaryota; Metazoa; Chordata; Mammalia; Rodentia; Heteromyidae. The record is from Rfam by way of RNAcentral.
GGUGGCUCAGUGGUAGAGUGCUUGCCUUGCAUGCAUGAGGCCCUAGGUUCAAUUCCUUGGCACUA